AAGGAUUGGGCGUGUUUACCAUGCAUUCAAACGAUGAAGCCGCUUCGGUGGUGGAUUAGUGGCGAACGGGUGAGUAACACGUGGGCAAUCUGCCCUGCACUCUGGGACAAGCCCUGGAAACGGGGUCUAAUACCGGAUAUGACACACGGGGGCAUCUUCUGUGUGUGGAAAGCUCCGGCGGUGCAGGAUGAGCCCGCGGCCUAUCAGCUUGUUGGUGGGGUGAUGGCCUACCAAGGCGACGACGGGUAGCCGGCCUGAGAGGGCGACCGGCCACACUGGGACUGAAACACGGCCCAGACUCCUACGGGAGGCAGCAGUGGGGAAUAUUGCACAAUGGGCGCAAGCCUGAUGCAGCGACGCCGCGUGAGGGAUGACGGCCUUCGGGUUGUAAACCUCUUUCAGCAGGGAAGAAGCCUUCACGGGUGACGGUACCUGCAGAAGAAGCACCGGCUAACUACGUGCCAGCAGCCGCGGUAAUACGUAGGGUGCGAGCGUUGUCCGGAAUUAUUGGGCGUAAAGAGCUCGUAGGCGGCGUGUCGCGUCGGAUGUGAAAGCCCGGGGCUUAACCCUGGGUCUGCAUUCGAUACGGGCAGGCUAGAGUUCGGUAGGGGAGAUCGGAAUUCCUGGUGUAGCGGUGAAAUGCGCAGAUAUCAGGAGGAACACCGGUGGCGAAGGCGGAUCUCUGGGCCGAUACUGACGCUGAGGAGCGAAAGCGUGGGGAGCGAACAGGAUUAGAUACCCUGGUAGUCCACGCCGUAAACGUUGGGAACUAGGUGUGGGUCACAUUCCACGUGGUCCGUGCCGCAGCUAACGCAUUAAGUUCCCCGCCUGGGGAGUACGGCCGCAAGGCUAAAACUCAAAGGAAUUGACGGGGGCCCGCACAAGCGGCGGAGCAUGUGGCUUAAUUCGACGCAACGCGAAGAACCUUACCAAGGCUUGACAUAUGCCGGAAAACUGUGGAGACAUGGUCCCUCUUUGAGUCGGUGUACAGGUGGUGCAU
This 1000-nucleotide ribosomal RNA is filed under the name Streptomyces sp. RNAcentral describes it as "bacterial SSU rRNA". It matches the Rfam family "Bacterial small subunit ribosomal RNA", at positions 32 to 1046 of the family's 1533-position model. Lineage: Bacteria; Bacillati; Actinomycetota; Actinomycetes; Kitasatosporales; Streptomycetaceae. The record is from RNAcentral.